AGAAAUUGCAUGUGGGAGGCAAAUUGAGUGCAACUCAAAUAAAAACAACUGACCAGACAAUCCAUAGACUGAGGAGCUGCUUUCAUUUACCUGGAUUACGAAUCUAUCCCAUGACUGUAUAACAGAAUUAUGACAUAAUCUGCCUUGAAGGGAAUUUGAGUUAAAUAUAUCUCAUUUGUGCAUGAAAAACAGUUUUGAAAAUCAAGAGUCAGGAGCUUCAAGGAGUGUUUCAUUCCCUCAACAAAUAUUUGCUAAGAACCGUGAGGGUGUCUGCUCUCCUGCGGGGAGAUGUAACAGUCAGCAAGCAGACAAAUCCUCCUCUAAGGGGACUGGCACGGCAGAGGGAGC
Molecule: long non-coding RNA, 348 nt
Filed under: Equus caballus (horse)
Lineage: Eukaryota; Metazoa; Chordata; Mammalia; Perissodactyla; Equidae
Description: lncRNA (ENSECAG00000050102.1)
Source: RNAcentral